This 465-nucleotide ribosomal RNA is filed under the name Vreelandella stevensii. Its description in RNAcentral is "partial 16S ribosomal RNA". It matches the Rfam family "Bacterial small subunit ribosomal RNA", at positions 338 to 795 of the family's 1533-position model. Lineage: Bacteria; Pseudomonadati; Pseudomonadota; Gammaproteobacteria; Oceanospirillales; Halomonadaceae. The record is from RNAcentral.
CCUACGGGAGGCAGCAGUGGGGAAUAUUGGACAAUGGGGGGAACCCUGAUCCAGCCAUGCCGCGUGUGUGAAGAAGGCCCUCGGGUUGUAAAGCACUUUCAGUGAGGAAGAACGCCUGGUGGUUAAUACCCAUCAGGAAAGACAUCACUCACAGAAGAAGCACCGGCUAACUCCGUGCCAGCAGCCGCGGUAAUACAGAGGGUGCGAGCGUUAAUCGGAAUUACUGGGCGUAAAGCGCGCGUAGGUGGCUUGAUAAGCCGGUUGUGAAAGCCCCGGGCUCAACCUGGGAACGGCAUCCGGAACUGUCAAGCUAGAGUGCAGGAGAGGAAGGUAGAAUUCCCGGUGUAGCGGUGAAAUGCGUAGAGAUCGGGAGGAAUACCAGUGGCGAAGGCGGCCUUCUGGACUGACACUGACACUGAGGUGCGAAAGCGUGGGUAGCAAACAGGAUUAGAUACCCCGGUAGUC